Non-coding RNA from Mycena polygramma, 96 nucleotides. NCBI's taxonomy places the organism in Eukaryota, Fungi, Basidiomycota, Agaricomycetes, Agaricales, Mycenaceae. The record is from the annotation of a GenBank genome assembly.
GCCGUCGUAGGCCAUGGCGGCCGCCCACCGAAACUAUCACGGUCGUUGAUGCAAAUUUGAAAGCGGGAGCCGGGGGUUCGAAUCCUCCCGACGGCA